UACAGUGAUCACCACCCUUUCUGUUUAACCAGCGGGUGAAACGGGACUUAAACUUUGAGAUGUAGCCAUUCGAUUAACGAUAACGUGUAUUCUGUGGGCAAAUGUUAAUUUUAAAUUGUUCCCAUGGGCCAUAUUAGGCUUUGCAUAACAUUAAUUAUUUUGUGCACUAAAUAAUAAGGUGUACGUGGAUGUUUUGUGAUUGCUUUUAAAAAUCAUACUUAUUUUAAAAACUUUGCUAUGGACCAAAACGAAGUUUGGUGUGAGCGGUACCUUAGAUUGAGCCAGUUGCACACUGAUAUGUUGAGGCUAAGCCAAACUUCAGGUUCUAGACACGUGUGCCAGAGCAGGUCCGGUAGACUGGGCAGCAGCCAGACCAACAUUUUAUCACAGUAACUUGCUCAUAAAGAGUUGUUCCUUGUAAAGUAAUGAUUUAACAACCAAGCCACUAUCUCUAUAUCAUCAGCAGUUACAAACAUCAAAAUAUUUGCUUAUAUGUACGUUUUGUAAAAAGCCAGAAUUGUAGUCAGGACUAUGACAAAGUAAAGAAGCUUAUGAAUACAAAUGAGGCUGAUUCCCACUUAACUGGAUUAAUGGAGACUCUUAGACAAGCAGAGCAGAAGCUUUUAAGUUCUAGAAUUUGGUUGGCUGAUCCCAAGUUUGAAAUAUGGAAGAGAUUGUACUGGAAGAAUGUGCAAAAUUCAUUAUCUCAUUGGAACCAAAACCAGAAAAGACCUAAUGAUGUUAAAGAAAAACAUUCAAAAUACAGUCAAAUUUAAACAAUUCUAUGGUUGCAAUAGGAAUUAUUAGUACAAGAAAGUUGUGUAAAAGAAUAACUUACAAUUGCUAGAAAAUUUCAUUAUUUUCUAUUUAUCUGUGAGUAUUUGUUCUAAUAAAUACUUAUACCAUAGUG
Molecule: RNA transcript, 910 nt
Organism: Limulus polyphemus (Atlantic horseshoe crab)
Lineage: Eukaryota; Metazoa; Arthropoda; Merostomata; Xiphosura; Limulidae
Exons: 6
Source: RefSeq, a predicted model, not a curated record